UCCCUUGUGGCUCAGAUGGUAAAGCAUCUGCCUACAAUGUAGGAGACCCAGGUUCUAUCCCUGGGUUGAGAA
This 72-nucleotide transfer RNA is filed under the name Ovis aries (sheep). It matches the Rfam family "tRNA". From Rfam's summary of the family: Transfer RNA (tRNA) molecules are approximately 80 nucleotides in length. Their secondary structure includes four short double-helical elements and three loops (D, anti-codon, and T loops). Further hydrogen bonds mediate the characteristic L-shaped molecular structure. tRNAs have two regions of fundamental functional importance: the anti-codon, which is responsible for specific mRNA codon recognition, and the 3' end, to which the tRNAs corresponding amino acid is attached (by aminoacyl-tRNA synthetases). tRNAs cope with the degeneracy of the genetic code in two manners: having more than one tRNA (with a specific anti-codon) for a particular amino acid; and 'wobble' base-pairing, i.e. permitting non-standard base-pairing at the 3rd anti-codon position. Lineage: Eukaryota; Metazoa; Chordata; Mammalia; Artiodactyla; Bovidae. The record is from Rfam by way of RNAcentral.